This 391-nucleotide ribosomal RNA is filed under the name Tabularia sp. Its description in RNAcentral is "partial small subunit ribosomal RNA". It matches the Rfam family "Eukaryotic small subunit ribosomal RNA", at positions 582 to 975 of the family's 1831-position model. Lineage: Eukaryota; Bacillariophyta; Fragilariophyceae; Fragilariales; Fragilariaceae. The record is from RNAcentral.
AUUCCAGCUCCAAUAGCGUAUAUUAAAGUUGUUGCAGUUAAAAAGCUCGUAGUUGGAUUUGUGGUUGAGCUGUCCGGUCCGACACUUUUGUGUGGGUACUUGGACGGCUCGUCCAUCCUUGGGUGGAAUCUGUGUGGCAUUAGGUUGUCGUGCAGGGGAUGCCCAUCUUUUACUGUGAAAAAAUUAGAGUGUUCAAAGCAGGCUUAUGCCGUUGAAUAUAUUAGCAUGGAAUAAUGAGAUAGGACCUUGGUACUAUUUUGUUGGUUUGCGCACCGAGGUAAUGAUUAAUAGGGACAGUUGGGGGUAUUCGUAUUCCAUUGUCAGAGGUGAAAUUCUUGGAUUUUUGGAGGACGAACUACUGCGAAAGCAUUUACCAAGGAUGUUUUCAUCA